This 451-nucleotide ribosomal RNA is filed under the name uncultured bacterium. Its description in RNAcentral is "bacterial SSU rRNA". It matches the Rfam family "Bacterial small subunit ribosomal RNA", at positions 354 to 796 of the family's 1533-position model. The record is from RNAcentral.
GUCGAGAGGCUUCGGCAAUGGGGGAAACCCUGACCGAGCGACGCCGCGUGGGCGAUGAAGGCCGUUAGGUUGUAAAGCCCUGUCGAGCGGGAAGAAACGCAGGUGGGCAAACAGUCCAUCUGUUUGACGGUACCGCUAAAGGAAGCUCCGGCCAACUCCGUGCCAGCAGCCGCGGUAAUACGGGGGGAGCAAACGUUGUUCGGAAUUACUGGGCGUAAAGGGCGUGCAGGCGGCCUUGUAAGUGGGAUGUGAAAUGCCCUGGCUCAACCAGGGAACUGCAUCCCAGACUGCAAGGCUUGAGUACAGGAGAGGAUGGGGGAAUUCCCGGUGUAGCGGUGAAAUGCAUUGAUAUCGGGAGGAACACCAGUGGCGAAGGCGCCCAUCUGGCCUGAUACUGACGCUCAGGCGCGAAAGCUAGGGGAGCAAACAGGAUUAGAUACCCCAGUAGUCC